This 405-nucleotide unclassified non-coding RNA is filed under the name soil metagenome. Its description in RNAcentral is "partial contains 5.8S ribosomal RNA, internal transcribed spacer 2, and large subunit ribosomal RNA". The stretch from base 1 to 122 matches the Rfam family "5.8S ribosomal RNA", at positions 35 to 154 of the family's 154-position model. The record is from RNAcentral.
GAUGAAGAACGUAGCAAACUGCGAUACUUGGUGUGAAUUGCAGAAUCCCGUGAACCAUCGAGUCUUUGAACGCAAGUUGCGCUUGAAGCCAUUAGGCUGAGGGCACGUCUGCCUGGGCGUCACGUAAUGCGUCGCUCUCUCGCAGCUCGCCCCAUACGGGACGAGUGUUGCUAAUGGGGGCGGAGAAUGGCCUCCCGUGCGCCUCGCCGCGCGGUUGGCAUAAAUACCAAGUCCUCGACGACGCACGCCACGACAAUCGGUGGUUGCGAAACCUCGGUUGCCCGUCGUGUGCGUUCGUCGCGCAUCGAGGGCUCGAAAAAAUGCUCGGCUCCGGCUCGGCUUUCAACGCGACCCCAGGUCAGGCGGGGUUACCCGCUGAAUUUAAGCAUAUCAAUAAGCGGAGGA